AAUCAACGCUGGCGGCGUGCCUAACACAUGCAAGUCGAACGAGAAAGUGGAGCAAUCCAUGAGUAAAGUGGCGCACGGGUGAGUAACACGUGACUAACCUACCCUUGAGUGGGGGAUAACCUAGGGAAACCUGGGCUAAUACCGCAUAAUACCUACGGGUCAAAGGAGCAAUUCGCUUUAGGAGGGGGUCGCGGCAGAUUAGUUAGUUGGCGGGGUAAUGGCCCACCAAGACGAUGANCUGUAUCCGGCCUGAGAGGGCGCACGGACACACUGGAACUGAAACACGGUCCAGACUCCUACGGGAGGCAGCAGUGGGGAAUUUUGCGCAAUGGGGGAAACCCUGACGCAGCAACGCCGCGUGGAGGAUGAAGACCCUUGGGUCGUAAACUCCUUUCGAUCGGGACGAUAAUGACGGUACCGGAAGAAGAAGCCCCGGCUAACUUCGU
RNAcentral lists this ribosomal RNA (446 nucleotides) under uncultured bacterium. Its description in RNAcentral is "bacterial SSU rRNA". It matches the Rfam family "Bacterial small subunit ribosomal RNA", at positions 32 to 506 of the family's 1533-position model. The record is from RNAcentral.